GACGAACCGUGCGAACGUUAUUCGGAUUCACUGGGCUUAAAGGGCGCGUAGGCGGACGAGCAAGUCCGGGGUGAAAUCUUUCGGCUUAACCGGAAAAGUGCCUUGGAUACUGCUCGCCUUGAGGGAGGUAGGGGCAUGUGGAACUUCCGGUGGAGCGGUGAAAUGCGUUGAUAUCGGAAGGAACGCCGGUGGCGAAAGCGACGUGCUGGCCCUCUUCUGACGCUGAGGCGCGAAAGCCAGGGGAGCAAACGGG
RNAcentral lists this ribosomal RNA (253 nucleotides) under uncultured bacterium. RNAcentral describes it as "partial 16S ribosomal RNA". It matches the Rfam family "Bacterial small subunit ribosomal RNA", at positions 524 to 776 of the family's 1533-position model. The record is from RNAcentral.